Molecule: ribosomal RNA, 258 nt
Filed under: uncultured bacterium
Lineage: Bacteria
Description: partial 16S ribosomal RNA
Rfam family: Bacterial small subunit ribosomal RNA
Source: RNAcentral
GACGAAGGAUGCAAGCGUUAUCCGGAUUCAUUGGGUUUAAAGGGAGCGUAGGUGGCCUUAUAAGUCAGUGGUGAAAUCUCUGGGCUUAAACCCCAGGAAAUUGCCCAUUGAUACUGUAGGGCUUGAGUAUAGAUGCCGUUGGCGGAAUAUGACAUGUAGUGGUGAAAUACAUAGAGAUGUCAUAGAACACCGAUUGCGAAGGCAGCUAACGAAACUAUAACUGACACUGAGGCUCGAAAGUGUGGGGAGUCAAACAGG